Non-coding RNA from Salmo salar (Atlantic salmon), 54 nucleotides. NCBI's taxonomy places the organism in Eukaryota, Metazoa, Chordata, Actinopteri, Salmoniformes, Salmonidae. The record is from Rfam.
UUCUAUUUGAGACGUAAGUCGCUCUGGAUAAGAGCGUCUGCUAAAUGACGUAAA